Molecule: ribosomal RNA, 252 nt
Filed under: uncultured bacterium
Lineage: Bacteria
Description: partial 16S ribosomal RNA
Rfam family: Bacterial small subunit ribosomal RNA
Source: RNAcentral
ACGGAGGGGACUAGCGUUGUUCGGAUUUACUGGGCGUAAAGGGUGCGUAGGCGGUGUAUUAAGUUAGAAGUGAAAGCCUGGGGCUCAACCCCAGAACUGCUUCUAAAACUAGUACGCUAGAGUAUGGGAGAGGAUAGUGGAAUUCCUAGUGUAGAGGUGAAAUUCUUAGAUAUUAGGAGGAACACCGGUGGCGAAAGCGACUAUCUGGAACAUUACUGACGCUGAGGCACGAAAGCGUGGGGAGCAAACAGG